This 274-nucleotide ribosomal RNA is filed under the name uncultured bacterium. RNAcentral's name for it is "partial 16S ribosomal RNA". It matches the Rfam family "Bacterial small subunit ribosomal RNA", at positions 523 to 796 of the family's 1533-position model. The record is from RNAcentral.
AUACGGAGGGUGCAAGCGUUGUUCGGAAUUACUGGGCGUAAAGCGCGCGUAGGCGGUCUGUUAUGUCAGAUGUGAAAGUCCUCGGCUCAACCGGGGAAGUGCAUUUGAAACUGGCAGACUUGAGUACUGGAGGGGGUGGUGGAAUUCCCGGUGUAGAGGUGAAAUUCGUAGAUAUCAGGAGGAAUACCGGUGGCGAAGGCGACCACCUGGCCAGAUACUGACGCUCAGGUGCGAAAGCUUGGGGAGCAAACAGGAUUAGAUACCCGAGUAGUCC